AUUGAACGCUGGCGGCAUGCCUUACACAUGCAAGUCGAACGGCAGCACGGGUGCUUGCACCUGGUGGCGAGUGGCGAACGGGUGAGUAAUACAUCGGAACAUGUCCUGUAGUGGGGGAUAGCCCGGCGAAAGCCGGAUUACUACCGCAUACGAUCUACGGAUGAAAGCGGGGGCCCUUCGGGCCUCGCGUUAUUGGGUUGGCCGAUGGCUGAUUAGCUAGCUGGUGGGGUAAAGGCCUAGCAAGGCGACGACCAGUAGCUGGUCUGAGCGGGCGACCAGCCACACUGGGACUGAGACACGGCCCAGACUCCUACGGGAGGCAGCAGUGGGGAAUUUUGGACAAUGGGCGAAAGCCUGAUCCAGCAAUGCCGCGUGUGUGAAGAAGGCCUUCGGGUUGUAAAGCACUUUUGUCCGGAAAGAAAUCCUUGGCCCUAAUACGGUCGGGGGAUGACGGUACCGGAAGAAUAAGCACCGGCUAACUACGUG
RNAcentral lists this ribosomal RNA (486 nucleotides) under uncultured bacterium. Its description in RNAcentral is "partial 16S ribosomal RNA". It matches the Rfam family "Bacterial small subunit ribosomal RNA", at positions 30 to 507 of the family's 1533-position model. The record is from RNAcentral.